CCCCAGUUAAGCUGUUUUUAUACAACAGAAGCACAGCUGGUUAAAAGGGACUAAAUUGGUCAAGCAAGUGAGAAAGGGCAAAUGAAACUGGUUGCAGAAAGAACCUAUAAUCAAGAUGAGUUAGAAAAUGAGAUUUCCAGGGAGCAUGGCAUUUUCAGACUAAAAGAGUCAAAAGAACUUGCAGAUAAGACUGCUAAACUGAUCGGAGGGCCUUUGAGGAAAUAUCGCCAUAUACAAAGAUGGCUAAAGAAGAGUAACACCAGAACUUACGGAGAAGACUGCUUUGGGGAGCCUACGAAGAAUUAUCCUGAUAAGUAGAGGUGUCUGGACAGCCAUGAAUGUAGGACUCAAUCUCUUCAUGGGCAAAGAGCAGAAGAUGGCACUCAAGAGGAAAAGCAUCAUUUUCUUGACUUCCCUCUGGUCUGGAUUGUAUCCCACUUCUACUUUGGCCAGGAAUGGAUAGGAUAUAACCUAUGCAACACACCCACAGCUGUCCGGAUGUAAAUAUUGGAUAAGAUUAAGUGUUCCUUUAUCCAAAGAACUCAUUGUAGCCUAAGAAGCUUGGUUAAAAAUUGAGUAAAAUUCUAAAACACAUAGUUUCAGAACUUCCAGAAGAAACACAGCAAAAGGUGUUCACUUAGAAUCAGCCUGGUUCCAAAAUGCACUUUUUUUUUGGUUGCUACGUUUGCAGGAUAAGCCCAGUAGAUGGAAGGAAUACUACAGAAUACAUUCUGUGGAGUUG
Molecule: non-coding RNA, 742 nt
Organism: Ictidomys tridecemlineatus (thirteen-lined ground squirrel)
Lineage: Eukaryota; Metazoa; Chordata; Mammalia; Rodentia; Sciuridae
Source: RefSeq, a predicted model, not a curated record